This is a long non-coding RNA of Sinocyclocheilus grahami, 183 nucleotides long. RefSeq lists it as uncharacterized. The record is from RefSeq and is a predicted model, not a curated record. NCBI's taxonomy places the organism in Eukaryota, Metazoa, Chordata, Actinopteri, Cypriniformes, Cyprinidae. The transcript has 3 exons.
ACAUUUCACAAACUUUAUGGGAGAGCCAAAACAUUUGUACACUCAUGGAUGACAGUACUUUUGCCAGUAGAAAGAGCUCAUUAAGAGCUUUCAUAUGGUAUAUAUAUCUCCAUUUCACCAAAAAUUUCACUUACGCCCUUCUGGUUCUCACCCCUCGAUAUAUACAAAUGUUUUUAUUUACAA